RNAcentral lists this ribosomal RNA (117 nucleotides) under Pteropus alecto (black flying fox). The record is from RNAcentral. Lineage: Eukaryota; Metazoa; Chordata; Mammalia; Chiroptera; Pteropodidae.
GUCUAUGGCCAUGCCAUCCUGAACAAGCCCGAUUGUCUGACCUCGGAAGCUAAGCAGGGUCCAGUCUGGUUAGUACUAGGAUGGGAGACCACCUAGGAAGACCAGGUGCUGUAGGCC